This 811-nucleotide ribosomal RNA is filed under the name uncultured bacterium. Its description in RNAcentral is "bacterial SSU rRNA". It matches the Rfam family "Bacterial small subunit ribosomal RNA", at positions 43 to 834 of the family's 1533-position model. The record is from RNAcentral.
CGAGCGAACUUAACUAAAUGAAUGCGGUGCUUGCACCAAGUGAUUUUCCAUCUGGUGAGCGGCGGAUGGGUGAGUAACACGUGGGUAACCUGCCUCUAAGCAGGGGAUAACAUUUGGAAACAGAUGCUAAUACCGUAUAAAUCCUAAAACCACAUGGUUUUAGGCUGAAAGGCGGCUUCGGCUGUCACUUAGAGAUGGACCCGCGGCGUAUUAGCUAGUUGGUGAGGUAAUGGCUCACCAAGGCAAUGAUACGUAGCCGAACUGAGAGGUUGAUCGGCCACAUUGGGACUGAGACACGGCCCAAACUCCUACGGGAGGCAGCAGUAGGGAAUCUUCCACAAUGGACGCAAGUCUGAUGGAGCAACGCCGCGUGAGUGAAGAAGGCUUUCGGGUCGUAAAACUCUGUUGUUGAAGAAGAACACGUUUGAGAGUAACCGUUCAGACGUUGACGGUAUUCAACCAGAAAGCCACGGCUAACUACGUGCCAGCAGCCGCGGUAAUACGUAGGUGGCAAGCGUUAUCCGGAUUUAUUGGGCGUAAAGCGAGCGCAGGCGGUUUUUUAAGUCUAAUGUGAAAGCCCUCGGCUUAACCGAGGAAGUGCAUCGGAAACUGGGAAACUUGAAUGCUGAAGAGGACAGUGGAACUCCAUGUGUAGCGGUGAAAUGCGUAGAUAUAUGGAAGAACACCAGUGGCGAAGGCGGCUGUCUGGUCAGUUAUUGACGCUGAGGCUCGAAAGCAUGGGUAGCGAACAGGAUUAGAUACCCUGGUAGUCCAUGCCGUAAACGAUGAAUACUAGGUGUUGGAGGGUUUC